RNAcentral lists this ribosomal RNA (443 nucleotides) under uncultured Allobrachymonas sp. RNAcentral's name for it is "bacterial SSU rRNA". It matches the Rfam family "Bacterial small subunit ribosomal RNA", at positions 936 to 1382 of the family's 1533-position model. Lineage: Bacteria; Pseudomonadati; Pseudomonadota; Betaproteobacteria; Burkholderiales; Comamonadaceae. The record is from RNAcentral.
AUGAUGUGGUUUAAUUCGAUGCAACGCGAAAAACCUUACCCACCUUUGACAUGGCAGGAAUCCUGAAGAGAUUUGGGAGUGCUCGAAAGAGAACCUGCACACAGGUGCUGCAUGGCUGUCGUCAGCUCGUGUCGUGAGAUGUUGGGUUAAGUCCCGCAACGAGCGCAACCCUUGCCAUUAGUUGCUACGAAAGGGCACUCUAAUGGGACUGCCGGUGACAAACCGGAGGAAGGUGGGGAUGACGUCAAGUCCUCAUGGCCCUUAUAGGUGGGGCUACACACGUCAUACAAUGGCCGGUACAGAGGGUAGCCAACCCGCGAGGGGGGAGCCAAUCCCACAAAGCCGGUCGUAGUCCGGAUCGCAGUCUGCAACUCGACUGCGUGAAGUCGGAAUCGCUAGUAAUCGCGGAUCAGCAUGUCGCGGUGAAUACGUUCCCGGGUCUU